GAGAUCACGAUUCUCUCACGAUUUUCUUUUCCAAUAUAAAUAUUUAUUGCACUUAUUAACUGCACAUCAACUUCGUAACAGUUGAAACUGAACAUAAAAACAAUAAAUAAACAUAAAAACAAAUGUCUCACGUUUUGUGGUUGCCGCAAAAUGUUGUACUGCUUGAAAUUCCGUCUCCACCGUUGCUUGACGCUGCGUGUAUAGAGCAGGUAGUGCAACAAUAGAAAAAUAGUUGCGGGACGGCACUGUGUAGCGUUUGUCUAGGGUGUUGAUCAUUUUCCUAAAUCCCUCUUUUUGCACAGUGUUGAUGGGAGCCAUAUCUUUGGUCAGGUGAUAAGUGAUAGCCUCCGUAAUUUCUUUGUGCCUGUGGGAGUUCGACGGGUAUAGGGAAGCGCUGUAUAAGGUUCCCGUUAUUGAUGUUUGGGUGGUUGACCGGGACGGAUGUUCUCUUGUCACUUUCUCGUCAUCCCUGACGUGCUCUCCGUUGUUUUUUCCCUGCUAAUUUUAGCAUCACACGGCACAGCUUCUGUAUCACGUGGUAUAAGGCUCCGCCCUUGUCAUUUGUUGAGCAGGAAGAGUGAGCGCUUGUUUUCAUGCAGAUUACGUCCCGGAUCAAAAUGCGGUACAAUCGUCGUUGCCUUUUUUUUUUUUUUUAAAUCGUUGUCAUUUGGAAAUGAGAUCGCACAUAAGUAUAAAUCGAGAUCGCGAUUUUCUAACGAUUAAUCGUUCAGCCCUACUGAGCACUUUGUAACUGUUGCUAUAAAACUUCAUAUUUAGCCAUGUAUUUUAAAAUCUCGCAUCUAGAACUAUGUAACUUCUAGCCUUUUGAAAUCGGAUGAUUCUUUUUGAAAUACUCUGUAUAAUAAGAAUGAUAAUAAGAAUGUCAUAUAUUUGAUUAGCUGCAUUUAUAAUUCCUAUCUCUCUGCUCGUCAGUGCAUCCAAGAACAUUUCCAAAUCAGGGACAAACAACCAACCAACAGCCAGGCUGUGAUAACUACAUCUUGUAUGCGCUGGCUUAAAGAUUUAUAUUUCCCUGUUGCAAUAUUACAUCUAGCUUGCUCGCCUUCAGCAGUCAGUCACAUUCUGGUCAGUACUGUUUAACAAAUGGCUCCAUGGUGUAUCGUUUUAAAC
Molecule: long non-coding RNA, 1131 nt
Organism: Astatotilapia calliptera (eastern happy)
Lineage: Eukaryota; Metazoa; Chordata; Actinopteri; Cichliformes; Cichlidae
Source: Ensembl